AGGUGCGAUCAGGCCAAAACUAAUGCAUCAGAUCUCAUCAGAACUCCGCAGUUAAGCGUGCUUGGGCGAGAGUAGUACUACGAUGGGUAACCUCUUGGGAAGUCCUCGUGUUGCACCCC
This 119-nucleotide ribosomal RNA is filed under the name Beta vulgaris subsp. vulgaris (sugar beet). Lineage: Eukaryota; Viridiplantae; Streptophyta; Magnoliopsida; Caryophyllales; Amaranthaceae. The record is from RNAcentral.